Long non-coding RNA from Mauremys reevesii (Reeves's turtle), 1637 nucleotides. RefSeq lists it as uncharacterized. The record is from RefSeq and is a predicted model, not a curated record. Lineage: Eukaryota; Metazoa; Chordata; Testudines; Geoemydidae. The transcript has 4 exons.
AUAGGCUGCACCUGGAGGGGAGCUAGGGCUCAAUAAUGCUUAAUUAAGGAUGAAGCUCACCUGGGCUGGCACAGGCAGAGCUUCUGUCAGGCUAGGAACAGAAAGGGGCUACAGGGGGAAAGCGUUUGCAGUGACUUCCCGUACAGGAGGGAGGUUUGUUAGAGAUUACAGGGCCUGCCAAGAAGCUAAAGGGAGAAAUAGCCACAGGGAGUAGAGGAAGCUCAGCUGGGUAGUAAACCCAGAGGCUUGAAAGAGGAAGCUGCAGAAAGCCAGGGGAAGUAGCAACCAGGGCUGGGUGCAAGUAGACCAUAGGUCUGUAGUCUCAAACCUGGGGUAGAGGGCAGAGCUGGGUUUCCCCUACUAGCCCUGGGAAGUGAUACAGCCUUGGCCAUAAAACACAGGCCUGCCUGGAACAGCAGCUUGUCCAGAGAGACCUUGAUAGACCCCUGGAAGGGGAGAACUAAAGUGACAUGGGCUGAGUCACAAAGAUCAUGCAGAGUCCUGGAGGGUGCGAUUGAGACAACAGGUGACUGCGGAAGGGGCUUCUAAUUGUGGGCUAAUUCCCAGAUGGGCUGCUAGAAGGCAUGCAAGUGGUGCCCAGAACAACAACAUACUCAACAAAGCUGAGACUCAUCAGUGAAUUCUCGUAAAGGGUAUUUGGAAGUUUAGCGCCAAAAUCUUCAACUGGUGUAAAUUGCUGAAGUCAUACAGGACACAGGUAUGAAGUGUUCAUCUACAAAGGAAAUUCUUCUUGAUGCUAGAAAUUCAAAUCUUGUUUACAAUGGAAGACCCUGGUGCCUGGAGAACUAGUGGAAAAGUUGCAUCCCUGGAGAAGAUUUUAAGCUGACUAGUUCAUGGGGAAAUGGAUGUUCAGUAACUGUUUGAUUUUCAGAGUGGGAACAUCUACGACUACAACUGCACUCAAUGGGAGCAGUGAAUACUCAGCAUAUCUGAAAUUCAGAUCACUUGUACAACACCUAUUUAACACCACGGAUUAACAGGCAUUUGGGUUUAACUCUAGUCUAUACUUAUGCCUGUAUUGCUAUAUGGGCAAACCCUUCUAGUGUAGGUGCAGCUUAUAUGGGCAAAAGGGUGCUUUGCUAGCAACUGUCUCUACCAUGGGGCUUUUGCAUUUAAAAAAAAAAAUUGCUCUCCAACUGACAUUUUACUGGCAAACGUUUCUAGGGUAUACCUUGCCUUAGUUAAAGACUCAGCACACUCCUUCUUCCCACACACCCUAUUCACAAGAAAGAAUUCCCAUACAUAUAGAAGACCCCCAAGAAGUCCUCCAGGAAAAAAAACCACAGGAAUAACCAGAGUUUAAAUUCCUAAGGUAAAAGAAAAAAAUCAGAGCCCUUCUAUUCUCUCCCCCCACCUCCCGUUAAAGUAGCCUUCUUUCUACAUGAAGACGACUCAAAGGAAAGCUCAAGCUCAGUUUAAAUAACUUCUGCAGGUCCCCUUGUAAUGAACAGACUAAAUUACCCUUAGGAUUUCUCUGGCUUGGCUGCUCAUGGCUAUGCGAGGAGAUAAAGCCUCAAUCAAAAACACUUCAGGUUAUUUGCUGACUUCUGGCAGCAGGAUAUUCAUAAGCCUUUUGGCAUGAACGGUCAGUGGAUCAGCUGUCACAAACCUUGCUU